GAUGAACGCUGGCGGCGUGCCUAAUACAUGCAAGUCGAGCGAACGGACGAGAAGCUUGCUUCUCUGAUGUUAGCGGCGGACGGGUGAGUAACACGUGGAUAACCUACCUAUAAGACUGGGAUAACUUCGGGAAACCGGAGCUAAUACCGGAUAAUAUUUUGAACCGCAUGGUUCAAAAGUGAAAGACGGUCUUGCUGUCACUUAUAGAUGGAUCCGCGCUGCAUUAGCUAGUUGGUAAGGUAACGGCUUACCAAGGCAACGAUGCAUAGCCGACCUGAGAGGGGGGUUCGGCACACUGGAAACUAGAACCGGGCCCAAACCCCCACGGAGGGAGGCGGAGGGAAAUGUUCCGCAAGGGGGAAAGCCCGGAGGAGGCAACGCGGGGUGGGGAAGAAAGGCUUUGGAUCCGAAAAAUCCGUUUAUUGGGAAAAAAAAAUGGGGAAGGAAACGGGCAAAUUUUUAAGGGACCCAAUCAGAAAGCCCCGGCUAAACUAGGG
Molecule: ribosomal RNA, 497 nt
Filed under: uncultured bacterium
Lineage: Bacteria
Description: partial 16S ribosomal RNA
Rfam family: Bacterial small subunit ribosomal RNA
Source: RNAcentral